Molecule: ribosomal RNA, 434 nt
Filed under: uncultured Fibrobacter sp.
Lineage: Bacteria; Pseudomonadati; Fibrobacterota; Fibrobacteria; Fibrobacterales; Fibrobacteraceae
Description: partial 16S ribosomal RNA
Rfam family: Bacterial small subunit ribosomal RNA
Source: RNAcentral
ACGGGAGGCAGCAGUGGGGAAUAUUGCACAAUGGGGGAAACCCUGAUGCAGCGACGCCGCGUGAGUGAAGAAGUAUUUCGGUAUGUAAAGCUCUAUCAGCAGGAAAGAAAAUGACGGUACCUGACUAAGAAGCCCCGGCUAACUACGUGCCAGCAGCCGCGGUAAUACGAGGGGUGCAAGCGUUGUUCGGAAUCACUGGGCGUAAAGGGAGCGCAGGCGGAGAUGCAAGCAGUCUGUACAAUACCGGGGCCCAACCCCGGACCUGCAGACUGGACUGUUUCUCUUGGAUAGCUCAGGGGCUGGCGGAAUUCCUGGUGUAGCGGUGGAAUGCGUAGAGAUCAGGAAGAACACCGAUGGCGAAGGCAGCCAGCUGGGGGCUUAUCGACGCUCAUGCUCGAAAGUGCGGGUAGCAAACAGGAUUAGAUACCCUGGUA